Molecule: transfer RNA, 86 nt
Filed under: Spirochaetota bacterium
Lineage: Bacteria; Pseudomonadati; Spirochaetota
Description: Spirochaetes bacterium (groundwater metagenome) tRNA-Leu
Rfam family: tRNA
About the family: Transfer RNA (tRNA) molecules are approximately 80 nucleotides in length.
Source: RNAcentral
GCCGGAGUGGUGAAACUGGCAGACACGUAAGACUCAAAAUCUUAUGGGAUUCACCUCCCGUGUGGGUUCAAGUCCCUCCUCCGGCA